GACGAACGCUGGCGGCGUGCUUAACACAUGCAAGUCGAACGGAACGGCCCUGCUUUUGUGGGGUGCUCGAGUGGCGAACGGGUGAGUAACCCUUAGGUACCCUCCCCUUGCCUUGGGGUUAUCUUAAGAAAACUGGGUCUAUUCCGGACAAGGAUUUCUUGCUUUUGGUUGGGGUUGGGAAGUUUUGGCCGGUUGGGAAUGGACUCGGGGCUUAUAGGCUGGUUGGGGGGGUAGUGGCUUACCAAGCUCUUGCCGGGUAGCCGGCCUGGGAGGGUGACCGGCCACAUUGGGACUGAGAUACGGCACAGCCUCCUACGGGACGCAGCAGUGGAGAAUAUUGCACAAUGGGAGGAAGCAUGAUGCAGCAACGCCGCGUGCGGGAUGACGGCCUUCGGGUUGUAAACCGCUUUCGCCUGUGACGAAGCGUGAGUGACGGUAAUGGGUAAAGAAGCACCGGCUAACUACGUG
Molecule: ribosomal RNA, 468 nt
Filed under: uncultured bacterium
Lineage: Bacteria
Description: partial 16S ribosomal RNA
Rfam family: Bacterial small subunit ribosomal RNA
Source: RNAcentral